UACGGAGGGAGCUAGCGUUGUUCGGAAUUACUGGGCGUAAAGCGCACGUAGGCGGCUUUGUAAGUUAGAGGUGAAAGCCCGGGGCUCAACUCCGGAACUGCCUUUAAGACUGCAUCGCUUGAAUCCAGGAGGGGUGAGUGGAAUUCCGAGUGUAGAGGUGAAAUUCGUAGAUAUUCGGAAGAACACCAGUGGCGAAGGCGACUUACUGGACACAUAUUGACGCUGAGGUGCGAAAGCGUGGGGAGCAAACAGG
This 253-nucleotide ribosomal RNA is filed under the name uncultured bacterium. Its description in RNAcentral is "partial 16S ribosomal RNA". It matches the Rfam family "Bacterial small subunit ribosomal RNA", at positions 524 to 776 of the family's 1533-position model. The record is from RNAcentral.